This 253-nucleotide ribosomal RNA is filed under the name Anaerobutyricum hallii. Its description in RNAcentral is "partial 16S ribosomal RNA". It matches the Rfam family "Bacterial small subunit ribosomal RNA", at positions 524 to 776 of the family's 1533-position model. The record is from RNAcentral. Lineage: Bacteria; Bacillati; Bacillota; Clostridia; Lachnospirales; Lachnospiraceae.
UACGUAUGGAGCAAGCGUUAUCCGGAUUUACUGGGUGUAAAGGGUGCGUAGGUGGCAGUGCAAGUCAGAUGUGAAAGGCCGGGGCUCAACCCCGGAGCUGCAUUUGAAACUGCUCAGCUAGAGUACAGGAGAGGCAGGCGGAAUUCCUAGUGUAGCGGUGAAAUGCGUAGAUAUUAGGAGGAACACCAGUGGCGAAGGCGGCCUGCUGGACUGUUACUGACACUGAGGCACGAAAGCGUGGGGAGCAAACAGG